GAUAACCACAGGCAAAGAAAAGUCUGGGCUUGGCAAGGGUGUGAUGAUGUAACCUGGAGAGAGAUGUGGGGAAAGAGGUGAUGGCUGGGGAAAUGGCCUCAUGUCUGAGUCUCUAGGACAGUGAAGAAAGUGCUCCUUGUUCUUGCUGUCUUUAGUGUAGGGUAGAGCUGGGCACUCAAAGACCUCUGCCUGAACUGCAGAGCCCAGAGAAUUACCACCUGUUGUUUCUCCUGUUGGCAUUUUCUGGCUUGUCUAGCAAGGACACCUACUCAUUGGCUUGAGUUUAACUCAAAGAAGAGAAGUAAACAUCCCAGACACAGCCUAGAUGGGAUACAGAUGUGAGAAAAAUACAUUAUGACUUCAGAAUUUUCAGGGCAUCAUUAGUUGCUUAGGUUAAGGGGGAAUGGAAAAAAGAGAGAGAGAGAGAAAGAAAGAGAGAAAUUAGGCAACUUGAUUAUCAAUUUUCUUUCCCUAAGAAUCCUGACUGAAAUUCAAUCACAAACUUCCCAGCAAGUUCCAGCCUAUUUCAUCCUAUGGAGUGCAUUCUAUAGGAGAUCUGGACAGUGGUUUCUCGGAAGAAGCAAAACCUUGAAGAUGAAACUCAAGUUUACCACCACAACUUGGGCACCGUGAGGCCUCCCAUCUGCCAUCACUUCCUUCAGCUGCAUGUCACCAAUGGAGUGGCCAGAGAAAGGUUCUCUGAAGAAGUGAUACUAGAGCUGAAACCCCAGUGAUGAGAAGUCAGCCAUGUGAAAAUUGGAAGAGCAUUCUGUGCAGAGCAAUGUGUGCAAAGACCCUGGGGCAGGAAUAAGCUAUAAGCUGGAGCACAUGAAUAUGGAAGGAAAUGGUUCCUGGUAAUCAUCAGAAAGGCGGGAAGGGAAUCAGAUCACACAGCAUUGUCGGGCACAGGUAUUCCUACUGCAGUGAAAUCCACUGCAGGUUUUAUGCAAAGGCGUGAUAGGAGUAUGACCUGAUUUAUGUUUUAAAAAUACAACUUUAAUUGCUGUGUAGGUGGCUAAGAGAAGUGGGGGGCAUCAGUUAAGAGGCUAUUACAAUAACCUAAGUAAGUGAUAAUGAUAGCUUAGACCUAGUAGUGAUGUAGGUGGAGAAAAGUAGAUCAAUACUGAAAAUAUUUUGGGGACAGCCAACAAGAUUGGCUGAUGUGUGACAGGGUUUGGGGGCAGGGAUGACUCCCUGGGCUUGAGGUUCUGAGAUGGGGGGAAAGUUUGGGGAGCUGGAAAUCAAUAAUUCCAUUUUGGGUGAGUUGCAUUCUUAUUAGAUACCCAAGUAGAGCUAUCCAGUUGGCAGAUGAAUACCAAAGUUUGGAAAAAUGUCUAUUCAGAUUAUUUGCUCAUUUUCAUUAAUUCAUUCAUCAUUCCAUAAAAACAUUUUAAGAUCCUACCCUGUGCCAGAAUGUACUGUGCUAAGAACCAUGUAUACAAAGGCCAAUAAAACUGUGCCCCUCCCUUCAUGAA
Molecule: long non-coding RNA, 1475 nt
Organism: Mustela erminea (ermine)
Lineage: Eukaryota; Metazoa; Chordata; Mammalia; Carnivora; Mustelidae
Exons: 3
Source: RefSeq, a predicted model, not a curated record